AUUGAACGCUGGCGGCAUGCCUUACACAUGCAAGUCGAACGGCAGCACGGGUGCUUGCACCUGGUGGCGAGUGGCGAACGGGUGAGUAGUACAUCGGAACAUGUCCUGUAGUGGGGGAUAGCCCGGCGAAAGCCGGAUUAAUACCGCAUACGAUCCACGGAUGAAAGCGGGGGACCUUCGGGCCUCGCGCUAUAGGGUUGGCCGAUGGCUGAUUAGCUAGUUGGUGGGGUAAAGGCCUACCAAGGCGACGAUCAGUAGCUGGUCUGAGAGGACGACCAGCCACACUGGGACUGAGACACGGCCCAGACUCCUACGGGAGGCAGCAGUGGGGAAUUUUGGACAAAGGGCGAAAGCCUGAUCCAGCAAUGCCGCGUGUGUGAAGAAGGCCUUCGGGUUGUAAAGCACUUUUGUCCGGAAAGAAAUCCUUGACUCUAAUACAGUCGGGGGAUGACGGUACCGGAAGAAUAAGCACCGGCUAACUACGUG
RNAcentral lists this ribosomal RNA (486 nucleotides) under uncultured bacterium. RNAcentral's name for it is "partial 16S ribosomal RNA". It matches the Rfam family "Bacterial small subunit ribosomal RNA", at positions 30 to 507 of the family's 1533-position model. The record is from RNAcentral.